This 82-nucleotide small nucleolar RNA is filed under the name Fulmarus glacialis (Northern fulmar). RNAcentral describes it as "Small nucleolar RNA SNORD121A". It matches the Rfam family "Small nucleolar RNA SNORD121A". Lineage: Eukaryota; Metazoa; Chordata; Aves; Procellariiformes; Procellariidae. The record is from Rfam by way of RNAcentral.
UGCCAGAAAACUAUGAUGUGUUAUUUCCAAGCACAUAUCUGACUGCUUUUUGUGGAAACCUGCUUAUUUGAGUCAAUUGUGA